UGGCUCAGGACGAACGCUGGCGGCGUGCUUAACACAUGCAAGUCGAACGCUGAAGCACCAGCUUGCUGGUGUGGAUGAGUGGCGAACGGGUGAGUAAUACGUGAGUAACCUGCCCUUGACUCUGGGAUAAGCCCGGGAAACUGGGUCUAAUACUGGAUGCUACAUGUCACCGCAUGGUGGUGUGUGGAAAGGGUUUACUGGUCUUGGAUGGGCUCACGGCCUAUCAGCUUGUUGGUGAGGUAAUGGCUCACCAAGGCGACGACGGGUAGCCGGCCUGAGAGGGUGACCGGCCACACUGGGACUGAGACACGGCCCAGACUCCUACGGGAGGCAGCAGUGGGGAAUAUUGCACAAUGGGCGAAAGCCUGAUGCAGCGACGCCGCGUGAGGGAUGACGGCCUUCGGGUUGUAAACCUCUUUCAGCAGGGAAGAAGCCACAAGUGACGGUACCUGCAGAAGAAGCGCCGGCUAACUACGUGCCAGCAGCCGCGGUAAUACGUAGGGCGCAAGCGUUGUCCGGAAUUAUUGGGCGUAAAGAGCUCGUAGGCGGUUUGUCGCGUCUGCUGUGAAAGCCCUGGGCUUAACCCCGGGUGUGCAGUGGGUACGGGCAGAGUAGAGUGCAGUAGGGGAGACUGGAAUUCCUGGUGUAGCGGUGGAAUGCGCAGAUAUCAGGAGGAACACCGAUGGCGAAGGCAGGUCUCUGGGCUGUUACUGACGCUGAGGAGCGAAAGCAUGGGGAGCGAACAGGAUUAGAUACCCUGGUAGUCCAUGCCGUAAACGUUGGGCACUAGGUGUGGGGGACAUUCCACGUUUUCCGCGCCGUAGCUAACGCAUUAAGUGCCCCGCCUGGGGAGUACGGCCGCAAGGCUAAAACUCAAAGGAAUUGACGGGGGCCCGCACAAGCGGCGGAGCAUGCGGAUUAAUUCGAUGCAACGCGAAGAACCUUACCAAGGCUUGACAUAUACCGGAUCGUUCCAGAGAUGGUUCUUCCCCUUUGGGGUCGGUAUACAGGUGGUGCAUGGUUGUCGUCAGCUCGUGUCGUGAGAUGUUGGGUUAAGUCCCGCAACGAGCGCAACCCUCGUUCCAUGUUGCCAGCACGUGAUGGUGGGGACUCAUGGGAGACUGCCGGGGUCAACUCGGAGGAA
This 1144-nucleotide ribosomal RNA is filed under the name Kocuria sp. Its description in RNAcentral is "bacterial SSU rRNA". It matches the Rfam family "Bacterial small subunit ribosomal RNA", at positions 20 to 1171 of the family's 1533-position model. The record is from RNAcentral. Lineage: Bacteria; Bacillati; Actinomycetota; Actinomycetes; Micrococcales; Micrococcaceae.